CCCUUAGAUGUUCUGGGCCGCACGCGUGCUACACUGAGUGGAUCAGCGGGUCAGGUUGCGCGAAAGUGUUUCCUAAUCUUGAAAUCCGCUCGUGAUGGGGAUUGACGGUUGCAAUUUUCCGUCAUGAACGAGGAAUACCUUGUAAGCGCGGGUCAUCAUCCCGCGCUGAAUACGUCCCUGCCCUUUGUACACACCGCCCGUCGCUCCUACCGAUUGAAUGUUUCGGUGAAGAUUCCGGAUAGGACUUUUUUGAUUUAUUUCAAUUCUGUCUUAAAAGCUAUCUAAACCUCAACAUUUAGAGGAAGGUGAAGUCGUAACA
This 319-nucleotide ribosomal RNA is filed under the name uncultured eukaryote. RNAcentral describes it as "partial 18S ribosomal RNA". It matches the Rfam family "Eukaryotic small subunit ribosomal RNA", at positions 1470 to 1796 of the family's 1831-position model. The record is from RNAcentral.